RNAcentral lists this ribosomal RNA (406 nucleotides) under uncultured bacterium. RNAcentral's name for it is "partial 16S ribosomal RNA". It matches the Rfam family "Bacterial small subunit ribosomal RNA", at positions 30 to 526 of the family's 1533-position model. The record is from RNAcentral.
AUUGAACGCUGGCGGCAGGCCUAACACAUGCAAGUCGAGCGAGCCGCGGGCGGGUGAGUUAUGUAUGUGGCUCUGCCCGAUCGAGGGGAAUAACUACUGGAAACGGUUGCUAAUUCCGCAUUCUAUCGUCUGAACCCAUAUGGGAUUAGCUGGUAGGUGGGGUAAAGCCUACCCUAGGCCACGAUCUCUAGCUGGUCUGAGAGGAGGAACAGCAAAACUGGGACUGGGAAACGGCCCAGACUCCUACGGGAGGCAGAGGUGGGGAAUAUUGCACAAGGGGCGCAAGCCUGAUGCAGCCAUGCCGCGGUUGUGAAGAAGGUCUUCGGAUUGUAAAGCACUUUAAGUUGGGGGGCGUUACCAACAGAAUAAGCACCGGCUAACUCCGUGCCAGCAGCCGCGGUAAUAC